AUUGGUCAAUAGCCUAACGGCUGAACCAGCAACUUUGAUGAAUGGCCAACUAGUGGCAAACAAGAACUAUGUUCUAUAAAAUUCUAGGUAGAUAAAUGAAUCGACAAAUUCUGCUUAUAUGUCUUGACCAAGUCACGUGCCAGCAGUCGCGGUAACACGUGGAAGACUAGUGUUAUUCAUCUUUAUUGGGUUUAAAGGGUACCUAGACGGCCGUUGAAUCCGAACAAAGGAACCAAUGUGCUAGAGUUUCAUGUAAGUAGAAUUGAGAACGUUGAGCGUAGAGAUAAAAUUCUUUGAUCCCAGCUAGGAACUGGUAAAGGCGAAAGCAAUCUAUUAUGUAAAAACUGACGUUGAGGGACGAAGGCUCGGUUAACAAACAGGAUUAGUUACCCUAGUAGUGUGGGCAGACAAUGAUGAGUGUCAUAUGUAAGUUAAGUUUAUGUAUAAAUGAAAGUGUAAGCACUCCACCUCAAGAGUAAUAGGGCAACCUAUAAACUGAAAUCACUAGACCGUUUCUGAAACCAGUAGUGAAGUAUGUUAUUUAAUUUGAUGAUCCACGGAAAACCUUACCACAGACCCAUGAAUAUUUAUGUUUAAACAUAAUUACAGGCGUUGCACGGCUGUCUUCAGUUAAUGUCGUGAGACUGUGGUUAGCUCCAUUAAAUUAACGUAAACCCUUAUUUUAUUUUAGAUAAAAUAGCUCAUUCGCUAUAUUGAAAUGUGAUAAUAGGGACCAAGACAAGUCAUCAUGACCC
This 755-nucleotide ribosomal RNA is filed under the name Acarosporina microspora. Its description in RNAcentral is "SSU rRNA". It matches the Rfam family "Bacterial small subunit ribosomal RNA", at positions 363 to 1201 of the family's 1533-position model. Lineage: Eukaryota; Fungi; Ascomycota; Lecanoromycetes; Ostropales; Stictidaceae. The record is from RNAcentral.